AGGUAACCAAUCCUGGCCCUAGGGUCCGAGUGACUCGGCCUUAGGAAGGCAAAUCCGAUCGGCAGAAAACUGGCGCCCGAGGAGGAAAAGAUCGAGCUCGUCACCCUGCGGCAGUCCGAGUGGACGCCCUUCAGGAGAAUUACGAGAGUUUUUGAAGACCCUGAAAGUGAAGCCACAAAACUGCAAAUAGUAAUAGAAAUGAAACCCAGAAUAGAAGCGCCAGCCUUCUGAGGCCCUCUCAACUGACCAGUGAUGGAGACCUAGCUGCACCCUUUACUGCACCCCCUUCUCAGCACGAAGCAGCCAGAGCGGUCAUCGCCCCUUUUCCCUAGCAGCAGCUAGAGUCCCUAUCUGUAGAAGAGAGAAUGAGACAAAGACCAAGACUCACUUUAUCCUCUGUAAGUAGGCAAAGAACCUGCAUUGAGAGAGUUCCUAAAACUUACACCUCCCUCUGCAACAGGACAGAA
This is a non-coding RNA of Manis javanica (Malayan pangolin), 467 nucleotides long. The record is from RefSeq and is a predicted model, not a curated record. Lineage: Eukaryota; Metazoa; Chordata; Mammalia; Pholidota; Manidae.